This is a ribosomal RNA of Sorex araneus (European shrew), 115 nucleotides long. Lineage: Eukaryota; Metazoa; Chordata; Mammalia; Eulipotyphla; Soricidae. The record is from Ensembl.
UACAGCCAUACCACCCUGAAUGCACCAGAUCUCGUCUGAUCUCAGAAGCUAAGCAGGGUCGGGCCUGAUUAGUACUUAUAUAAAUUAUUAAAGAGAAAUAAAAAAUCAUCAGUAC